Non-coding RNA from Mycena rebaudengoi, 93 nucleotides. The record is from the annotation of a GenBank genome assembly. Lineage: Eukaryota; Fungi; Basidiomycota; Agaricomycetes; Agaricales; Mycenaceae.
GACCCAGUGGUGCAAUGUCCAGCACGUCUGCACAAUUUGAACAUACAUUGUAAAUUUCUGCAGGAGCCCCCUGUUCGAUUCGGGGCUGGGUCA